UGUUAUAAAACAAAUCAGAUGAAUAAUGGGCAAACUGUUACUUCUUUCACAGCCUGAAGGCUCUGCCGGAGAGCGGCCUUCUCUUAGCUUGUCGGGAGUGGGCAUUUUUCAGACGCAUCUUCGGCCGAUAUAGCGCUUAUUGGGGCGGCCUUUGAUUCCCGGCAGCUGUCUUAGAUCAGAGAUGUUUAUUCCACUGCGAAACCUCUUCGGAUAGAGACGGGGGAGAGAGCUCAGAGCGGGGGCAUCCGCCUUAGCCUUUGAAGCGCCUCUUGCCGUCCUUUCUAGUCUUCUCGGUAAACCCUAAACCCUCUUCUCCUGUCACAAGUCAGUGCCCCGAGAUAAGAAAAGCCUCCUGCAAAUUAGCACGGUGACACGUCCGAAGUAACAACGGACCUCCACUGGUGGCUUUUGCGUUUCCGAAAAUCGGAUGCUUGAUGCCGCAAGCCUCUCAGUCCAAAGAGGUUCCUUUCCCCGUUCCCUGUUCUGCCUUUAGAAAAUAUUUCUUUAUUUGGUCAAGGAAUCCUAUCAAUGACAGGGAAAAAAGUUGAGGUUGCAUUUCUCUUAAUGUAAGGAGGGGAGAGAGGGAAGAAACCUCCCCUCACCCUUUUUUAAAAAAUAUUAUUUAUUGGACACCGUUUCGUGCGCAUCGUAAUUAAUUUAAAUGCACUUGCUGGACGGGUUGCAGAGUCCACCUUCAUUGUAGGAAGGCCCCUGAGAAACGCAGGGCAUCUGAGAAACAACCAUUCGGAAUAAACAAGGAGAGUGCGGAGGCGAAAUCACCCGAGCCUGCGGGAAGCCUGCGUUUCGACAGCAUUGUAGAUGCCACAGAGCCAUCAGACAAAAGGGCAAGAGUAGAAACAAAAUCCAUUUCAAAAUGCAGAGAAAAGAAAUGAACAGCAACAACAACAAUGACAAAAAAAGCCAAAAGCUGUUCUCUGCAAAGGCUGUCUUUCACUGCGAAUUAUGAAGAUGGAAGGUAUGUAACAUAAUGAUCUAGCUUUGAAGUAUUCUAGACUUAAUGAUUCAUU
Molecule: long non-coding RNA, 1028 nt
Filed under: Cairina moschata (Muscovy duck)
Lineage: Eukaryota; Metazoa; Chordata; Aves; Anseriformes; Anatidae
Description: domestica (muscovy Duck (domestic type)) lncRNA (ENSCMMG00000002079.1)
Source: RNAcentral